UGGGGAAUAUUGCACAAUGGGGGAAACCCUGAUGCAGCGACGCCGCGUGAGUGAAGAAGUAUUUCGGUACGUAAAGCUCUAUCAGCAGGGAAGAAAAUGACGGUACCUGACUAAGAAGCCCCGGCUAACUACGUGCCAGCAGCCGCGGUAAUACGUAGGGGGCAAGCGUUAUCCGGAUUUACUGGGUGUAAAGGGAGCGUAGGUGGCAAGUCAAGUCAGAUGUGAAAGCCCGGGGCUCAACUCCGGGAUUGCAUUUGAAACUGGUUUGCUAGAGUGCAGGAGAGGUAAGUGGAAUUCCUAGUGUAGCGGUGAAAUGCGUAGAUAUUAGGAGGAACACCAGUGGCGAAGGCGGCUUACUGGACUGUAACUGACACUGAGGCUCGAAAGCGUGGGGAGCAAACA
This 402-nucleotide ribosomal RNA is filed under the name uncultured bacterium. Its description in RNAcentral is "bacterial SSU rRNA". It matches the Rfam family "Bacterial small subunit ribosomal RNA", at positions 355 to 774 of the family's 1533-position model. The record is from RNAcentral. RNAcentral also lists the same sequence under 2 other names.